RNAcentral lists this non-coding RNA (31 nucleotides) under Mus musculus (house mouse). The record is from RNAcentral. Lineage: Eukaryota; Metazoa; Chordata; Mammalia; Rodentia; Muridae.
UCCAUUGCUUGUUUUAUUCAUUUUAUCUUUC